This 873-nucleotide ribosomal RNA is filed under the name uncultured organism. RNAcentral describes it as "bacterial SSU rRNA". It matches the Rfam family "Bacterial small subunit ribosomal RNA", at positions 1 to 876 of the family's 1533-position model. The record is from RNAcentral.
GGCUUAGAGUUUGAUCAUGGCUCAGGAUGAACGCUAGCGACAGGCUUAACACAUGCAAGUCGAGGGGCAGCAUGAGGUAGCAAUACCUUGAUGGCGACCGGCGCACGGGUGAGUAACGCGUAUGCAACCUGCCAUAUACCGGGGUAUAGCCCAUGGAAACGUGGAUUAACACCCCAUAGUACUUUUAUCCUGCCUGGGAUGGGAGUUAAAUGUUCAAGGUAUGUGAUGGGCAUGCGUCCUAUUAGUUAGUUGGCGGGGUAACAGCCCACCAAGACGAUGAUAGGUAGGGGUUCUGAGAGGAAGGUCCCCCACAUUGGAACUGAGACACGGUCCAAACUCCUACGGGAGGCAGCAGUGAGGAAUAUUGGUCAAUGGACGAGAGUCUGAACCAGCCAAGUCGCGUGAGGGAAGACUGCCCUAUGGGUUGUAAACCUCUUUUAUAAGGGAAGAAUAAGUUCUACGUGUAGAAUGAUGCCUGUACCUUAUGAAUAAGCAUCGGCUAACUCCGUGCCAGCAGCCGCGGUAAUACGGAGGAUGCGAGCGUUAUCCGGAUUUAUUGGGUUUAAAGGGUGCGUAGGCGGUUUAUUAAGUUAGUGGUUAAAUGUUUGAGCUAAACUCAAUACAGCCAUUAAUACUGGUAAACUGGAGUUCAGACGAGGUAGGCGGAAUAAGUUAAGUAGCGGUGAAAUGCAUAGAUAUAACUUAGAACUCCGAUAGCGAAGGCAGCUUACCAGACUGAAACUGACGCUGAUGCACGAGAGCGUGGGUAGCGAACAGGAUUAGAUACCCUGGAGUCCACGCCGUAAACGAUGCUCACUGGUUCUGUGCGAUAUACUGUACGGAUUAAGCGAAAGUAUUAAGUGAGCCACCUGG